This 320-nucleotide ribosomal RNA is filed under the name uncultured eukaryote. RNAcentral's name for it is "partial 18S ribosomal RNA". It matches the Rfam family "Eukaryotic small subunit ribosomal RNA", at positions 1470 to 1796 of the family's 1831-position model. The record is from RNAcentral.
CCCCUAGAUGUUCUGGGCCGCACGCGCGCUACACUGAACAGUUCAACAAGUCUUAACCUUGGCCGAUAGGUCUGGGUAAUCUUUGAACGCUGUUCGUGAUUGGGAUAGACCUUUGCAAUUAUGGGUCUUCAACGAGGAAUUCCUAGUAAACGUAAGUCAUCAGCUUGCAUUGAUUACGUCCCUGCCCUUUGUACACACCGCCCGUCGCACCUACCGAUUGAAUGGUCCGGUGAAAUCUCGGGACGGCGGCUUGGUCGCUUGCGUCCGACUGCUGAAACUUGAUUAAACCAUAUCAUUUAGAGGAAGGUGAAGUCGUAACA